This 512-nucleotide ribosomal RNA is filed under the name Psychopomporus felipi. RNAcentral describes it as "partial 16S ribosomal RNA". The stretch from base 386 to 512 matches the Rfam family "Bacterial large subunit ribosomal RNA", at positions 2473 to 2600 of the family's 2925-position model. The record is from RNAcentral. Lineage: Eukaryota; Metazoa; Arthropoda; Insecta; Coleoptera; Dytiscidae.
GUCCUUUAGAGUUUUAUUAAAGGUCUAACCUGCCCACUGAAUAAAAUUGAAUGGCCGCAGUAAAUUGACUGUGCAAAGGUAGCAUAAUCAAUAGUUUUUUAAUUAAAAGCUUGAAUGAAUGGUUGGACGAGAUAAAAUCUAUCUUUAUUAUAUAGUUAGAAUUUAAUUUUUAAGUUAAAAAGCUUAAAUAAAUUUAAUAGACGAGAAGACCCUAUAGAUUUUAAUAAUUAAGUUAUUAUUUUUAUUAAGGGUUAAUUAUGUAUAAUAGUAAAUUAAUUAUUUUAUUGGGGUAAUGUAGAAAUUAGAUGAAUUUUUUAAUAAAAAUAACAAUGAUGUUUGAUUAGAUGAUCAAUUAUUAGUGAUUAUAAGAUUAAAUUACCUUAGGGAUAACAGCGUAAUUUUUUUUAAGAGUUCUUAUCGAUAAAAAAGUUUGCGACCUCGAUGUUGGAUUAAAAAUUUUUCUAGGUGUAGUAGUUUAGAGUUUUGGUCUGUUCGACCAUUGAAUUUUUACA